This 460-nucleotide ribosomal RNA is filed under the name uncultured Phycisphaerales bacterium. RNAcentral describes it as "bacterial SSU rRNA". It matches the Rfam family "Bacterial small subunit ribosomal RNA", at positions 933 to 1382 of the family's 1533-position model. Lineage: Bacteria; Pseudomonadati; Planctomycetota; Phycisphaerae; Phycisphaerales. The record is from RNAcentral.
UGGAGUAUGUUGCUCAAUUCGAUGCAACGCGAAGAACCUUAUCCUGGGCUUGACAUGUAGGAGCCUCUACCUGGAAACAGAAUAGAGUUGCCCUUCGGGGUGUAAGCCUACACAGGUGCUGCAUGGCUGUCGUCAGCUCGUGUCGCGAGAUGUCGGGUUAAGUCCCAUAACGAGCGAAACCCUUGUCGCUAGUUGCCAGCGGGUCAUGCCGGGGACUCUAGCGAGACUGCCGGUGUCAAACCGGAGGAAGCGGGGAUGACGUCAAGUCCCCAUGGCCUUUAUGCCCAGGGCUGCAAACGUACUACAAUGGUCGCUACAAACCGAAGCAAGACCGCGAGGUGGAGCAAAUCGGAGAAAAGCGGCCCCAGUUCAGAUUGGAGUCUGCAACUCGACUCCAUGAAGUUGGAAUCGCUAGUAAUCGCGGAUCAGCUAUGCCGCGGUGAAUGUGUUCCUGAGCCUU